This is a long non-coding RNA of Hippocampus comes (tiger tail seahorse), 2097 nucleotides long. RefSeq lists it as uncharacterized. Lineage: Eukaryota; Metazoa; Chordata; Actinopteri; Syngnathiformes; Syngnathidae. The transcript is spliced from 6 exons. The record is from RefSeq and is a predicted model, not a curated record.
UCUCCUUUAACCAUUCGUUGCAAAGCCGUAAAUCGAUUCGAACAUUUACACGUGAUUACUGCUGUCAUGGCAGCAAUAAUCGGUCUGAGGACCCAUACAUUUUUAAAAAAGAAAAUAAAUAAAUAAAUAAAGGAGAAAGAAAAAGUUAGGCCACACGGAUAAUAGGACAGUCAAGGAUCAACAGUGACUCGGUUGUCACUCUCUGGCGUGAACUCAACGACAACGAGGGAUUUCCGACCGACAACACGAGACCUUCCUGCCGGGAUCUACACGUGUGCCUACUGUGAAAUUAUCCAAGGUUGAUGGGCCCUCCCUUCACUCAAACAGGGGUCGUCCUUGCACAGUUUGUCCUCACUUGACUGGUGACUCCAAACCAGAGGCAGCAUGUGAAGUAGCUGCAUGGCUGCCCUACUUGCAUCUGUAUAUAAAGGCAACCUGUAUAGAGGGCUGCCUGAAAAAAUAUGAUGUGACAUGUGGGAUGAGCAAGACGGAGCGAGAGGAGGAGGCGGACGCCGGGGUUGAUGUAUUUGCAAAGGACACUUCACCAUCGCCAGUCUGACAUUGACAGACUUCAUCCUGACAAACUGGUGCAUACUUGAAGGAGGACAUGCCUGACACAUAUGAACCAGCUUUCCACUCUGGUGGCCUAAAAACUUGGGGACAAGACAGGAAGUGAGAAGCAGACAGAGAAAGACAGAGAAAGGGAAGGUACAACAAUUUCAGAACUUGGAUGCCGUGAGUUGCAGCGAGUUCAUCCAGCCCCCGUCCUACCCCUUGAAUAGUCCUGCUCGAUAAGUGAACUUUGAUAGCCCACAUGAUGUUAACUUUGCGUGAUUUAUUUGGCUGCGUCGCGAUGACAUUGGACGAAGAGCAACAAAUCGGAAAGAAAGAGAGAAAGAGCAGGAUAGACUCGAUCCCCCAAAACUAGGACAGUCACUGUCUAGAAAUGUGGACUCAUGUUCCUGUUUCCAGCGAUUCCCAUGAGCCUGCUUACUCCAAAGCGCAGUCGGUUCAGUACUGCCCACCGGCCGCUUUUCGCUGUCCUUAGCAGCCUCGUGUGUUGUUGACGUCUGAUCUUAUGAACACUGAAGCGUAAGUGAGUUAAGGCAUCGCACCACAGCAAGUACUGGACACUCUUGUCUCUUGGAAUAUAUCCAAACAGUUCAACAUUCAUCUCCCCCAAAGGCGCCAGACGGGCAUAAGUACAUGGGUAAAAUGUGACCGCAUCGUCUGCAAUUAGAGAACACAAUUUGUGCAGAAGUUGUACUUGAAUGGUUGAAAUGUACGAUGUUAGACGCGAACUUGGAAUGGUUUAAAUCGGUCAAGAAAUGUGAAAAGAGAACAUGUGGAAAUACCAGAUUUGUUUUAAUUUUGUCAUGAGGAAAAGUGAGAUGCUGAAUAUUUGGCAAUUUCGUUGUUAGAAUGCCCAUUUCGACACGUGGUUUACUAUUUAUAUUGUUUCUCUUGUAUUUGAUUGUUGUCGUGUCCUGUGUCAAAUUGACUUCCCUUCUCAGUUUCCUCUUUUUGUCCACACGCUCGUGUUUUUGCAGCUGAGCGAGGAAACAAAAAGUGAUGCAGUGAGUCCGCAAUAAUAAAGGAAGGCCGGUUGGAAUAUUUUCGGACUUUUUCAAAGCUCUGGCUGAUGCUCUGUAUAUCAUUAUCCAUCUGUUUGGCUUGAGAAGAACUGGCUCGCGGAGGGGACGCGGAGCCUCGCGUGGACAUCUGCCAGCCUACCUACGCCUUGCCUCUGCCGCCCCAUUAGCAUCAUGUGGCGCCUGGCGCCCGUCCAAGUGAGACAGUGUGACCUUAAUCUCUGUGCCUGUCACUGAGCUCCGAACGCAUCUGGUCAAGUCCAGAUGCACGGUCAUGGCCGCCUCCUCCGUUUCUCGCCCCGUGGUCGACGUGACGAUUCCGGCGCGUUGUCGCCGCUUCCUCCCGCAGUCGACAAAGACGCCUCAGGUUGUACCGCACUUGGCAUAUUUUCAAAUGGGUCAGUCUCUGUUUGAUAGUGUUUCUUUAUCGGUUGCCCAGGAAGCUACCUAUUACGAUAAUCUGAUGCUGACUCAUACUCGUAUCGAACUAUCGCUUCCUUUUCCG